UUGCAGUGCAUGCCCUCAUUUAUACACAGUAGAGAGAAACAUAUCACAUAUAGUAUCAAGCAUCUCUCUUUGAUUAGUGUAGUUCUUUAUUUCGUAGGUCUUGGGAAUUUGUGAAGUCUAUAUGCGUGGCACUCUAUUCUUCUUUUCUUUCACCAAUUUCUGAGCGAAUCUGCAGCCACAAGUAAAGAAAUGUUUCCCUUAGAUAUAUGGAUUCAUAUCCAUCUGAAUGAAUAUGAAGUAGUGGACUUCUUACUCGGCCAAAGCGUCUUUAUAAUAAUAUUGGAGUUUCUCCAAGUUCCCAAUGUCUGGGUUCACAACCGUAACAUUUUUAUGUAAAAGACAUUGUCCAAUGUUCUUCAGGUUAAAAAUAUUCACCCUUGACACAUUCUCCAUCUUCUCAACCUCCCCCUUCAAUUCAUACUCCUGAAUACGCAGAUAAUUUUUAGAGAACCCAUCGCAGUGGAAGAGGUGUAUAACUCAACUGCAUCGCUGACUGUAUUGCAUAGAAACUCAAAUCUGAAUUUCCGUACUACUUCUUUGAAAAGCCAUUCUGCUAAACCUUGUCCAGAAUAUGGUGUUAAGUCUACUCGACCCGUCCCAAGCGACAGAACCAAAUAAUUCUUGUAGUUUCUUUCAUUUCCGUAAGUUUUCGUUGCUUCGCAGAGUGCAGCUAAGGUAGGAUUAUUUGCACAUAUGCCACCAUCAAAAAAGCCUUCUUCCUGGCCCUUAAAUUUGAUCUUAUGUGGAGGAAAAUAUGUUGGAGCUGCAGAGGAGGCUAGAACUACAUCUGUAAGACGAAAGUCUUCUUAUACUUUGCCCUUGUAAUCUGUCGUCAUAUCCGAAGUGAAAAUGACAGGUUUUGUCUUCCUAAUUCUGAAAGCAGGGAUAACCAACUUUGUCACAGUUUCACGCAGCCCAACUUGUCCUAACUCUUUGCCCACUGCAUAUCUAAGAGCUGAGGGUCCAUGUCUGGUGAGUAUAGCCAUGGCAGCCUCAAACCAAUUUAUGGGAGAAGCAAAACGACACAGAAUAUAUUGCAAUGCCUCCUUGAUCUUUUUAGGAUACUCACGCACAUGAAAAAUCGGGUUUCCGAAGAUUCCUUCCCCUCUCCUCUCGUAAAAAGAGACGAAUUUUGAUGCAUCAAACUUGGGGCUUGGCCUCCAGUUUAGCUUAUCACAUCUUCUAUUCUCCGGCGCAGUUAGCAUCGGUGUCAAUAUCGACCCUGUGCUAACUCCGGCGAUUAUAUCAAAGUAAUUUGCGAUUCUUGCAUUAG
This 1273-nucleotide unclassified non-coding RNA is filed under the name Hevea brasiliensis (rubber tree). The record is from RNAcentral. Lineage: Eukaryota; Viridiplantae; Streptophyta; Magnoliopsida; Malpighiales; Euphorbiaceae.